RNAcentral lists this ribosomal RNA (490 nucleotides) under uncultured bacterium. RNAcentral's name for it is "partial 16S ribosomal RNA". It matches the Rfam family "Bacterial small subunit ribosomal RNA", at positions 30 to 507 of the family's 1533-position model. The record is from RNAcentral.
AUUGAACGCUGGCGGCAGGCCUAACACAUGCAAGUCGAACGGUAACAGGAAGCAGCUUGCUGCUUUGCUGACGAGUGGCGGACGGGUGAGUAAUGUCUGGGAAACUGCCUGAUGGAGGGGGAUAACUACUGGAAACGGUAGCUAAUACCGCAUAACGUCGCAAGACCAAAGAGGGGGACCUUCUGGCCUCUUGCCAUCGGAUGUGCCCAGGUGGGAGUAGCUAGUAGGGGGGGUAACGGCUCACCUAGUCGACGAGCCCGAGCGGGUCUGAGAGGAUGACGGGCCACACUGGAAGUGGGCCACGGUCCAUGCUCCUGCGGGAGGGCGCAGUGGGGAAUGUUGCGCAAUGGGCGCAAGCCUGAUGCAGCCAUGCCGCGUGUAUGAAGAAGGCCUUCGGGUUGUAAAGUACGUUCAGCGGUUAGGAAGGGAGUAAAGUUAAUACCUUUGCUCAUUGACGUUACCCGCAGAAGAAGCACCGGCUAACUCCGUG